UUUUUUUUUUCUUUUCUUUUCUAAUGGGGGCUUGUUGUUAAAGUCUUCAAUGCUAAAAAAUGAUUAAAUUUUAAACUAAUAAGACUGUAGAAAACAUAUCUUCCCAGUGGGGGUUUCCAGCAAAAGUUUUUGUAAAGGCCUCUGCACAAUUUCAGCAAGUUUCUGGCAGACUCAGUGACCUUUUGCAGGACUCCCCGCCACCCAUGGGGUGCUUGGUGGGUAUUUAUACCGCCACGCUUGUCAAAUUAUUACCACUCCGUGAAUAUAAUGGGUGAUAGGACACAAUUAAUUAUUUAAAUAUUAUUAAUAGAACACAAAGCACUGUGCAUUUUUGUGAAUGCCACAUCUUUGCUGGAAUAAGCAAGUCCUUGAGUCACUGAUACUAAUAGGAAAGCCCUUUGGCUGCAGGUCAUUCUGUAUGUUUAUCUGAUUCUCAAGGUCAAGGUGACUAUGCAGCUGAGAUUUUCCUCAGUCCGUGAGCAUCUGUGUGAGGGGUGUGUGUGCUCACAAAUCAGCUAUCCUUCCUGGGACUCCACUGGAACUUUCUCAGGCAAGCUCCAGUUUCAUUGCAUGAGCACUUGCCUGGAGGCCAUGAUUGUGACUUGCUGUGGUCGCCCUGUCACUCAGGCCAAAGCACACAAAAGGAUAACAUCUCAGUGGAGGUCCCUCUAUCCAAAGUCAAGCUUUCAGGGUUGCAGGUCUGAAAAGCAGAUCUUGCUUCCUCACCCAAGUUCAUGCUAAUCAAAUGGGUACCACAACAACGUAGAUGCCAGAAGACUAAUUUCCGUGAAAGCUCCAACCACCUCAUUGGACUGGAGAGUCAUUUUCUUAGGUCAGCACAUUUUGUCCCACUAGGAAAAUUUCCAUGGCAAGGUGCUUAAUCAUCAGAGGGUCACUUUGGUGUCUGUGUCAUCCAAGCACAAUGGUAUUUGCAAUUAAUAGCAUCAAACAAUAACCGAGUGCUUAUUAAGUAGUAGGUGCAUUCUAAAGGUUCUACUCUUCCUUAUGUGCUGGGCAGUGUUCUAAAUUCUUUCCUAUAUUAACUUCUCUUAUACCCCACUCUCCAUGGGGUAAGUAUUGUUAUCAUCAUUUCCAUUUUACAGAUGAGAAAACAAGUCCAGAGUUGAUCAAAGUCACUGGUGAGUGGCACAACUGGGAUUUGAACCUGGACUUAGCCUCUGUUUUUGCCCCAUACACCCCUCUGCUCCUUAGGGUGCCUCUUCUAUACUUUCAAACUCCACCCCGUGAGCCUCUCCUCCCAGAUAACGUGAACUCUGAAAGGUCCUCACACUGUAUUUUCUGGAUUUCCAAGUUGUAGAUUCUACAAAGUUGACAUGUGUUUUCUCAGAUUGGUUAACCCCAUGACUAGCCAUUGUCAAGACCUGAUAUUGCUGCCUUUAGCCUGGCCUUUAUGUCUUCCUGUGACUUUUGCCUGUAUCUAGCUUCACCCAUCAUGUGCUAACAUUAUUCAUCUGCCUCUCAGGGUGCUGGCAACGCCCCUCUAACAGGAUGGUCCACGUUGUAUUUCCUACAAUAGAUUCAAAAGUAGCAGGAAACUGUGCACGCAGUGAAGCCUGCCAAUUGAAACCCAAAAGGGAAGAGACAGAAUGGGAAAUGUGAUGAACAAAGACAUGAUAUAGUCCCCAUGAUGUGUAGUCCUGGAAUCUUGGCUAAUAUGAUCAGUAAGUGAAGCUCUCACUUUACGUCACUUUUUCAGAGCACCAUGCCCAGCAGUACACAUCUAGUAAGAAACAGUUAUUGAACUUUGAGAACUGUCUAAAAGGUGGAAAACGAAAUGGAGGUACAAAUCAUAUAUAAGUCAAAGAGACAGCUUGUAAUUAUUCCUUCCCCUCUCUGAGGAAAAAAAAAGCAAAUACCAAUGGAAUAGGCACUUGCAAUGACAGAAUUCUGUCAAUACCCAUUGGCAGAAUAUAUUCCAUUUGCUGGUCAAUGCACUUUUUGAUAACAAGAGGCUGAAGCUGGGCCCAAAUAAUGGCAUGUAGAUAGCUCAUUCCAAACAGCCAGGGGCUUCCAGGCAUCUCAAUAUUUAUUACACUGUGUUAAAAAUAUGAUUUUUGAAAUGUCUUUCUCACAUUUUAUCUGGUUAUAACAUUGUGACAACAAGCUCUGUCUAUAUCAUGUGGCUUAUGUACAUUAAAUAUUCCACUUGAAGUCUGCAUAACAAGCUGAACUUGCUUAUUUCUGGCAUUAUUUUGCAAUUAGUGUGGUUCAAAUGAGAGUAGCUAUAGCUAGAUGUUUUAAGUAACUAGAAGUAAAAGGUAAAAGACAGAUAUUUUGAAUGCAAUUAAACUACUUAAACAUCCCUGUUGGAAGGAGAAACGACUAUGUGGCAAAUCAGAAGUAAUAUCAUGCUUUGGAGAGAAUUUGCUAUUAAAUACAUGUCAGUUGAGUAAUUAGUUAACUGUACAGAAAAUAGUUAACUGGAGCACAGGGAUGAUAUUUACUGAGCAUAUUUUUAUUGGUUAAUGACAACUUUUUUGUUGGGCUCUAUUCUGAUUGGUGGAUGCCUUGUUUUAGUUGGUUGAUUCCUAUCUGUUGUUAACUUUUUUGUUUGGCUUCUGAAACAAUGGUUGAUCAUUGUUAAAUAUUGUUAAUUGUUAAGUUUUUUAACUAUGACCUCCACUUGGAAGCAUACUUAAUACUAUAUAGGCAAAAAAUCCAAAUCAGAGUUUUUAUUAAGCAACAGUCAAUAAAAGGGCAUACUUGGGUAUGUUUAUAUAUUUGAUUCAGUGUCAGAGAAUAAACACCAAAAAGACAAGAACAGAAUGGAAAAAUGAGUUGCAAACUUAAAGUCAAAAGCUUAUUUAUAAUAGAAAGCAAACAUUUACAUAGACUUACUAUGUGCCAGCCACUGAUUUAAGUACUUUAUAUAUAUACUAAUGUAAUCCUCAGAGGAACUCUGUAAAUAGAUACUGUUAUUAUCCCCAUUCUACAGAUGAGAAAAUUGAGGCACAGAGCAAUGGAAUAGCAUGCUGAAGUUUACUACCUAAGUGGCAGAGAUUGAAUUCAAAUCCAGGAAUUUGACUCCAGAGCCAUGCUUUCAACUCUUUUUCUCUACUGUCUCUACUACAAAAAUAUGUAAAAAUUCAUAUAAACGUGUAAGUUAAUCGAUAUUCAAAUGACCUGAAAAGAGCACAUAAAUGCAUUCUAUAAAUAAUUAUAUCAAAAAUCACAACAUUUUUGAAAUUAGAGAAAUACAAAGUCAUUCAGUGAGCUUCUCAAAUUAGAGAAAUAGAAAUGAAAAGUCCUUCAGUGAGCUUCUCAAAUUAGUAAAUGUGAGAAAGCUCAAUUUGUAAAGGACCUGAGAAAACAGAUAUGCUUUCAAUGGCUGUUGGCACAAGUCGACUGAAGCUUUCUGAAGGACAGUUUGGUAGUAGGUUAGGGAGCUUCUGAGACAUAGCUUGUUUCCUUUUCAUGCAGGAAUUUCAGUUUUGGAAAAAUACCUUAAAAAUAACCUAACAGAGAAAUAAGUGAUAUCUUACAUAGAUAUAUUGUUGUGUAUAAAAGUAAAAAUUUGACAAUAACUCAGACGCACAACAAAAGGGAUACACCCAUGGUGUGAAGAACAUGGAACAGUCAAACAGAUACUACAUGCACAUGUGUGAGCUUUAUCAACAUGAAAUAUGUGAGUAGAAAAAAGAACCCGAAAAUCAUGUACAGCCAAAGGUAUAAUACACUGAUUAAACUGUGGGGAAACCUUUACGGGUCAUUUGCUUAAAGCCUGGGGAAAAGUGACAUGUUGGGGGCCAUGUUUCCACAAUCUUUCCUUAGCCUCUCUGCUUCUAUUUUCUGUGCUGAAAACUCCAUCUUGUCCUGCUUUACUUUACCCCGUAUUCCUGCUUGGAAAACAGUCGCAGUGCUGGUAAAUAACUUAAACUUAAGAACAAAGACCAAAAGGCAUAAGUUAUGUGGUCAGCUGAAUGAGGACCUAUUGCAUUGGUCUAGGCAUGGGGGACCUGUGCCGAUUGGCACACCAUUUGUGCAGCGUGAUGUGUCCUGUUAAAAUAAGAGAAAGAGGAACCCUCAUGGCCCCAGGGGAUUUAUGAGCGGUUGUUAGCAGAAUAUGCAUCAGCAAGGAGAAAGAGGUGCAAACCUAGGCACACCGGUUGCCAGGAUUGCCGCAGAUAGGCCUGCCAUCUGGGAAGCACAAUGAUGAUUCUCUAGGUGCUAUGCAGAGACAGCUAAGGCCAGCCUUCCUCAAUGCUAAUGAUUGUUAAAUGCCUAAAGGUCAGAAUAAAAGAUUAACCAGCUGCCCACUAUGUGACUUUAAAAAUAAUGAAAGAACUUUUAAAAUAAUAAAAAAAACUAUAUCCUGCACCUAUAGUCCCCUCCUCACUUGAGGUCAUCCUAAAGAGCACAAUAAAAGCAGUGUGGCUUCUUGAGGCGGUGCUCUUGGUCCCUGAGACCUUGAGUCCCCCAGUUCCCACCUUUACUUAAGAUAAAUGUCUCAUUCUUGUUUUAUGUUAACUUUUUCUUAAGUUUCACAGUACCCGUUCUUCAGCCCUCACCUGCCGAGGAGCAGUGAUGGAUGUAGCAGUUUAAACUUUUACUACUCGUGUGUAAACUACUUCUUUACUAAUCUUAAGUUGCUUAAGUUCUCAUUGGCUUGCUCUCUUGUGUGUGACCGGAGAAAUGUAGGAAAUAAGGGAACGCCAUUUCAGAAAUGGGUCAAUUUUAUAUCUAAAUAGAAUUACGCCGUACAUCUCUGAUGUGAUCCCAAGUGGAGCUGCCUGGGAACGCCAAGCGAUAGAAAACACUAGGAGAAGGCACAUGGGGGAUCAAAAGAGAAGCAAAUACAUGUCAGGUCAGGAAAAGUAGUCUGAGCAUUCAUCAUCCUUGGCUCGAACAUACAUUCGAGAACAACUCCACCCAUAGCUAGUCACAAAUGCUCUGCCAAAAGAAAAAAAAAGUAAAGUAGCAGCAUAUGCUGGAGACGUUGCUGUUUUUAUGAUAUGCAGAGAGACAUUUCCUUUCAUAUAUUCCCUUCCUUCCCGCUGCUGAGAAUCCAGCCCUGUCUUUGCUGUGAUUACAGACCUUUUCUGGGCAAAUGUUCGACUUCUUUUUCACCCUGCAUCGUGAUCUUCAGCAUCCAGGCUGAAGGUGUCUGUUUGAUAUUUCAAAAAUAUACUUGGUUCAUCAGAGCCUCUAUUUCCAUUGAACUUCUCUCCUCCCACCUCCUUCACCAUAUACCAUUUACUGGAUGUUCUACAUAUAGUUGGAUUUGCUUCAGUUGGUGUCAUUAUGAAUAUUAAAAAUAGAGUUUAAGGGAAAAUACGUAUACUUCUCUGUGCUGUACAUUUCUCCAAGAAGCACAACACUGCAUAAUUUCUCAAAUGCAACCCCAUUUUCAUCUUGCCAGCAAUUUGGCAGUUCUCAAAAGGUUACUGCUCUGAAUUUGUUUUCUUUGUAAUCUUGCAGUCCAUUUGUUCUGCCUU
Molecule: long non-coding RNA, 5456 nt
Filed under: Sus scrofa (pig)
Lineage: Eukaryota; Metazoa; Chordata; Mammalia; Artiodactyla; Suidae
Description: lncRNA (ENSSSCG00015026006.1)
Source: RNAcentral